Molecule: ribosomal RNA, 253 nt
Filed under: uncultured Lachnospiraceae bacterium
Lineage: Bacteria; Bacillati; Bacillota; Clostridia; Lachnospirales; Lachnospiraceae
Description: partial 16S ribosomal RNA
Rfam family: Bacterial small subunit ribosomal RNA
Source: RNAcentral
UACGGAGGGUGCAAGCGUUACUCGGAAUCACUGGGCGUAAAGGGAGCGUAGGCGGCCUGCCAAGUCUGAUGUGAAAUACCGGGGCUCAACCCCGGGGCUGCAUUGGAAACUGGCAGGCUGGAGUGCCGGAGAGGCAGGCGGAAUUCCUAGUGUAGCGGUGAAAUGCGUAGAUAUUAGGAGGAACACCAGUGGCGAAGGCGGAUGACUGGACGGCAACUGACGGUGAGGCGCGAAAGCGUGGGGAGCAAACAGG